Actinia tenebrosa (Australian red waratah sea anemone) is the source of this 553-nucleotide long non-coding RNA. NCBI's taxonomy places the organism in Eukaryota, Metazoa, Cnidaria, Anthozoa, Actiniaria, Actiniidae. The record is from RefSeq and is a predicted model, not a curated record.
UGUUAUUGGUCGGCCAUCUUGCGACUACGUUUCAUUAUUAAAGCUUGUUCAUUCGUUUACGUCGUUCGUCGUGUUUACUGGCGAUGCAUGAAUCAAAACAAUGUGCUCAAGCAAUGCCCAUCAAUACUGUCCAAAAGCUUGACUACCUGCAAAAUAUAAAAAAUGGACAAUCAACAAGUACAUGAGACAACAGAGAAAGGAGUACAAAGUAAUUGGAACUUUCCUUUCCCCGAAUUUCUUACGAAACUUCAAAGUCAAGUUGAUGCUCCAGAACAUCUUAUAAGUGACAUUUAUGCAAAAUAGGUAGAUACUAUGAGGAGGUACGAUCGAUUCUUCAAAUACUAAAUCAAGUCGUUAAGAGUUUGAUUUAAUUAUUGACAGGAUAUCUAGAGUGCAUAUCAUGUGUCUGUGAAAAACCUUUGCACGUUCAGUGGACCUCAGUCGACCGUAGACCUACGAAACUUUGCACUAAUUUGUACAAUUUUGUUAGUCUUUUACGGAUAAAUAGUAUGCACUCGAAGCCAAGACGUUUCAAAUUUAAGCUACUCGUUUA